CGAAUGCUGACGUGAGUAACGACAAAACGGGUGAAAAACCCGUUCGCCGAAAGACCAAGGGUUCCAGUCCAACGUUAAUCGGGGCUGGGUGAGUCGACCCCUAAGGCGAGGCCGAAAGGCGUAGUCGAUGGGAAAAUGGUUAAUAUUCCAUUACUUCUGUGUAAUGCGAUGAGAGGACGGAGAAGGCUAAAUCAGCCUGGCGUUGGUUGUCCAGGUGAAAGGAUGUAGGCAUGUAUCUUAGGCAAAUCCGGGGUACUCUAUGCUGAGAUCUGAUAGCAAGCUGUACUUGUACAGCGAAGUGGUUGAUGCCAUGCUUCCAGGAAAAGUCUCUAAGCUUCAGUUACACAGGAAUCGUACCCGAAACCGACACAGGUGGUCAGGUCGAGUAGACCAAGGCGCUUGAGAGAACUCUGCUGAAGGAACUAGGCAAAAUGGUACCGUAACUUCGGGAGAAGGUACGCUGUUGUUGGUGAUGGAACUCGCUUCCUGAGCUGACGACAGCCGCAGAAACCAGGCCGCUGCAACUGUUUAUUAAAAACAUAGCACUCUGCAAACACGAAAGUGGACGUAUAGGGUGUGAUGCCUGCCCGGUGCUGGAAGGUUAAUUGAUGGGGUUAGCGUAAGCGAAGCUCUUGAUCGAAGCCCCAGUAAACGGCGGCCGUAACUAUAACGGUCCUAAGGUAGCGAAAUUCCUUGUCGGGUAAGUUCCGACCUGCACGAAUGGCAUAAUGAUGGCGGCGCUGUCUCCAGCAGAGGCUCAGUGAAAUCGAAAUCGCUGUGAAGAUGCAGUGUACCCGCGGCUAGACGGAAAGACCCCGUGAACCUUUACUGCAGCUUGACACUGAACUUUGACCUUACUUGUGUAGGAUAGGUGGGAGGCUUUGAAGCUGGAACGCUAGUUCCAGUGGAGCCGUCCUUGAAAUACCACCCUGGUAAUGUUGAGGUUCUAACUCUGUCCCGUGAUCCGGGACGAGGACCGUGUCUGGUGGGUAGUUUGACUGGGGCGGUCUCCUCCUAAAGAGUAACGGAGGAGUACGAAGGUGCGCUCAGCGUGGUCGGAAAUCACGCGUAGAGUAUAAAGGCAAAAGCGCGCUUAACUGCGAGACCCACAAGUCGAGCAGGUACGAAAGUAGGUCUUAGUGAUCCGGUGGUUCUGUAUGGAAGGGCCAUCGCUCAACGGAUAAAAGG
Molecule: ribosomal RNA, 1188 nt
Filed under: Acinetobacter baumannii
Lineage: Bacteria; Pseudomonadati; Pseudomonadota; Gammaproteobacteria; Moraxellales; Moraxellaceae
Description: partial 23S ribosomal RNA
Rfam family: Bacterial large subunit ribosomal RNA
Source: RNAcentral